RNAcentral lists this transfer RNA (64 nucleotides) under Rhabdoblatta marginata. Its description in RNAcentral is "tRNA-Thr". It matches the Rfam family "tRNA". From Rfam's summary of the family: Transfer RNA (tRNA) molecules are approximately 80 nucleotides in length. Their secondary structure includes four short double-helical elements and three loops (D, anti-codon, and T loops). The record is from RNAcentral. Lineage: Eukaryota; Metazoa; Arthropoda; Insecta; Blattodea; Blaberidae.
GUUUCAAUAAUUUAAUUUAAAAUACUGGUCUUGUAAAUCAGAAAUAAGGUGACCUUUUGAAAUU